This 497-nucleotide ribosomal RNA is filed under the name uncultured bacterium. RNAcentral's name for it is "partial 16S ribosomal RNA". It matches the Rfam family "Bacterial small subunit ribosomal RNA", at positions 28 to 507 of the family's 1533-position model. The record is from RNAcentral.
GAUGAACGCUGGCGGCGUGCCUAAUACAUGCAAGUCGAGCGAACAGACAAGGAGCUUGCUCCUCUGACGUUAGCGGCGGACGGGUGGGUAACACGUGGAUAACCUAUCUAUAAGACUGGGAUAACUUCGGGAAACCGGAGCUACUACCGGAUAAUAUAUUGAACCGCAUGGUUCAAUAGUGAAAGACGGUUUUGCUGUCACUUAUAGCUGGAUCCGCGCCGCAUUAGCUAGUUGGUAAGGUAACGGCUUACCAAGGCGACGAUGCGUAGCCGACCUGAGAGGGUGAUCGGCCACACUGGAACUGAGACACGGUCCAGACUCCUACGGGAGGCAGCAGUAGGGAAUCUUCCGCAAUGGGCGAAAGCCUGACGGAGCAACGCCGCGUGAGUGAUGAAGGUCUUCGGAUCGUAAAACUCUGUUAUUGGGGAAGAACAAAUGUGUAAGUAACUAUGCACGUCUUGACGGUACCUAAUCAGAAAGCCACGGCUAACUACGUG